GCGAAUGAUUAGAGGCCUUGGGGUCGAAACGACCUCAACCUAUUCUCAAACUUUCAAUGGGUGAGAAGUCCGGAUUGCUUGACUGAAUCCCGGACGCAUGGAUGUGAGUUUCAAGUGGGCCACUUUUGGUAAGCAGAACUGGCGCUGUGGGAUGAACCAAACGCCGGGUUACGGUGCCCGAUGCAGACGCUCAUGAGACCCCAUGAAAGGUGUUGGUUGCUACAGACAGCAGGACGGUGGCCAUGGA
RNAcentral lists this ribosomal RNA (247 nucleotides) under Ditylum brightwellii. Its description in RNAcentral is "partial Eukaryotic large subunit ribosomal RNA". It matches the Rfam family "Eukaryotic large subunit ribosomal RNA", at positions 1013 to 1258 of the family's 3401-position model. Lineage: Eukaryota; Bacillariophyta; Thalassiosirophyceae; Lithodesmiales; Lithodesmiaceae. The record is from RNAcentral.